Molecule: long non-coding RNA, 2061 nt
Organism: Mus musculus (house mouse)
Lineage: Eukaryota; Metazoa; Chordata; Mammalia; Rodentia; Muridae
Product: predicted gene, 32236
Exons: 3
Source: RefSeq, a predicted model, not a curated record
UUCCUCUGUAGCCUCACAGGUAAUAGGAAGUAGCUGUGAUCGGUUCCCUUUCUUGCUGCUGACUGUGGCUGGGGGCUAAAGCCUGGUGGGAGAGAGGGGAAGGCAGCCAUAGAAGCUGGGAAAGAUCAGGGAGACCACAGGCCCAGAUUCUCAACACUUCGACAGAGGUCAAGCCUCAGCAGGUCCCGUGACCUUCCAACUUGUGCUGGUGCCUUUCUACCAGUUACCACCUUGGCAACCUUGGCUGCUGUUCCUGUGUUCUGGUCUGCUCCUGUCCAGCUGCCUCUGGUCUGUUAAAACCGAGAAACCUCUCGCCUCUAUGACGGGUUCCACCCCUCCCUAUCCAGUGUACAUAUCUUCCCUGCAGCUGCUGGAAGCCAUUCUACAAACUGACUUCUCCAUCCCUGCACAUGAGGUUUUCUUUAAUUUUGCAUUGCUGGGACUUGAACUCGGGGCCUCCUGAGUACUUCAAAAGUGCUCAGCCACAGAGCCACACCACCAGCCUACAUAGUAUUAGGGGAUUUUAUUUAUUUGUAUUUGAGAGCAUGGAGGGAAUGUGCCUGUGUACUGUGGAGGUCAGAGGUCAACUUGCCAGAGGCAGCCCUGUUUUAUCAUAUCUCUUGGUCAGUCCUAGGGGAUCAAAGCUAGGUUGUCUAGCUUGGAUUCAAGCACCUUUACCUCCUGAGCCAUCUCUUAGACCCAAAAAUACUUACACACACACACACACACACACACACACACACUCUCUCUCUUCUCAGUUCUUUCUCACUCUCCACUAUGUGGGUCUCAGGGGUCUAAUUCAGGUUGGUAGUCUUGGUAUCAAGCACUUCUACCAGCUGAGCCAUCUCACCAGCCCAGAAAUAUUUAUAUAUUGAUCCCUGGUGUGUUUCCCAGCCCUGACUAAGAACAGAAGGUAGUGGGACCUGGGGUCUGUAUCUAUCUAAUCCCAUCUGCUAGGAAGGGUGAGGUGGCAAGAUCUAAGUUUGAGACCAGCCUGGACAAUUUAGCAAGAUUCUAUGCCCACACCCACGACACGAGUCUCCAAUGAGGCCACACCCACCCAACCUUCCCAAACAGUUCCACCAAACAGGGACAAGCAUUCAAAUCUAUGAGCCUGUGGGGGCCACUCUCAUACAGACCAUAUGCAGGUUGAGGAGUCAGAGCAGCUGGACUCGAGGCUUGGUUACCAGCUCUCGGGUGGCUCUGUCAAGUUACCCAACCUAAAGCGGAUUCCCAAGACUGAGUUAUCCAGCUUGGAGGCUGGAACCUGGGUGGCUUCAUAACCUUGGGCAGGCUAGCUCAUGUUCUCCAGCCUCAGUUUCUCCCCUGUGGAAUGGGGGUGACAAUCCACUUAUAUAGUAGGGUUGCCAUGAGGCCAGAGUGAGCAUGGAUUUGUCUGUACAUGUGUGUACAUAUACAUGCACAUAUAAUCAUGUGUCUGUGUGAGAACACAAAUAUGUGUAUGAUGUAUAUGCCACAGUGAAUGCACUUGUUCUUUGGUGUUCCGGAAGGCCUGGUCCCAAGAAUCCCUGAAGACCUCAAACUUCACAGAUGCUCGAGUCCCAUAUAUAAGAUGGGGCAGACUGUGGCGAUGUACAACUCCCAGAUACUCAGAAAGCUGAGGCAGGAGGUUGGUGUAAGCCCAGGGGAUCAACGUCAGCCUGGGAAAAUGGCAUGAGACUACCGUACAGAUUGACCAAUGGAAUAUUCAGCAGGCACCCGUUUAUCCUUGGGACUUGUCAACGCUUCCUGUCAGUAUUGAGGUGGGGUAAGGUAGGCUCCUCUGGAAGGACUUUCAUCCUUAGGGAAAACUAAAACUCUAUCUAGGACCCGUGCCUGCACCAGGCAUCCAGAUGUCUCUCCAUUGACAGUGAACUCUGGGCUAGCCCACGCAUGAGCGCUUUCCCACAGACGAACAAGCAAAAGUAGCCCAGGGCCUGCACUUUUCGCUUUGUCCUUUAUUCCCAUUUCGUUACAAAAAUCCAAGUCACAGAUAGGUAAAAGGCUUGGUGCUGAGGAUCCAGGAUCACUGAUAUAGGUGAAAUGCAACCCCACUGCCCC